UCCUCGAGUGGGUGAUGAGGGGAGAUGCCGUGGCCCGAGACCUGCUGUGGGGGGAGGGCAUCCAGAGCGACGCCAGGUUCA
This 81-nucleotide non-coding RNA is filed under the name Chloropicon laureae. Lineage: Eukaryota; Viridiplantae; Chlorophyta; Chloropicophyceae; Chloropicales; Chloropicaceae. The record is from RNAcentral.